Non-coding RNA from Chlorocebus sabaeus (green monkey), 503 nucleotides. Lineage: Eukaryota; Metazoa; Chordata; Mammalia; Primates; Cercopithecidae. The record is from RefSeq and is a predicted model, not a curated record.
UCCGAUGCUUCCCCCACCUGCACCUGAGUCUUAGGCCAAUUCCAGGUCUCUCGUCCUAAAAUGCUCAUUUCUGGAAGGAUGGCACAGUCUCUGCGGGAGAGAAAGAAGGAUUCAUUUAAACCUGAGAGACUAAAAAUACGGAUGCAAGCCCCCGACUAAUUGAAUAGAGUUUUUCUCAUGGAGGCCCAAGAAAGUGUAUUUUUAAAGAGGACCUUGAAUGAAUCCAAUGUGCCUUCAAGAGCUGAGAACUGUUAGAUUCCCUGCUCCUUCUUUCUUACAGAUACAGAUACUUUUCCUAGAAUUGAGUUCUCAGGCCUCCCUGAGACUUCCUGUGAUUCUGCGGCUGCAGAGAAGAGUGGUUCAAGAGCUGAGGCGCUCAUGGGAUGGGCGCCAAUUCUUGCACGGACACUCAGUGACUGUGUUGACUCUGUGCCUUAUUUUCUGGUCUAUAAUAUGGAAGUCUUAAUUGUACCUGCCUAAAUAAAGUUGGCAGGCACAUUGUA